UUUCUAGCAACACUGUCAUAUUCAUUGCGUUUGCGCUGUUUGUUUUGAUAGGUUUUCAUGGGUGAACUUGCUGCUAGAUAUUUGUUUAUUUUUGUGCCUAAUUAAAAUGGAUACUUCCUUUUGACACUGGAAUAGACAACGUUUGUCAGUGCAACUCUGCGAAUCAACGAAUAACAGCAGCGGGCGGGACGAGACAGCAACGGAUUUAGAGGGAUGUGGCAUCUAUUAUCGAGACUUCCGCCGAUGAUUGACGUUACGUAUGCCUGCUCAAAAAUGAACGCCUCUACACAACAGGAUUGUCCCAAGGGGCACAUGAAAAUAAUCGCGAGUCUAAGCCUAGUUUUUCCCGUGAUUCUGAGUGAUUUCCCGGCCAAUAAACUUACACUAGCAGCGGAGGAAAACAAAAAAGGUUGAGUCGGCCAAGGUCAUUGAAGCAGAAAAGUUCGCUGAGCAGCAUUUUUUUUUAUUUCAAAGGAAACUACGCAACCGAACGAUGGAGUGGCAUUGCCAGUUAGAGGGAAGACAUUUUUAGCAAAUGUAAUCUGAGAACAGACAAGUUUCCCCCACGUAAAACUAUAGCCGGAGGACGAUAUCACCUUAGUUUAAGAGAUUUUCUGUAACAAACACAAUCAUCUACAGUUCAGUAAUUUAGUAAAUCAUUAUUGUUAUUAUUACUUCUGUAAAUUUUGGUUUAUUGAAAUAAAAUGUAACCUCCGUAUGCAUUGUCUGUAUAUAUAUAUUGCGUUGUACCGUUGUACCCGAACAUCGUACAUGCCGCAUUAGAUCAUGAAAUGACAAAUCACAAAUGCAAGCAAAGCUGAAUGUGGAAAGUGUUGAAUUCUUGAAUAUGGUAGAAAGGUUUUUUAAUUAAUUUCAUGAAUCCGAGUAUAGGGAACUGUUCACAGUUUAUGUAAACGCUUUAGAAGGAAGGGGUCGGUUCAAACAUUAGGGUUCAUACGAGUAAAUUGAAUUCUCUCAGAGUCACAAAAAGGAGAGGCAUAAAAUUGCACAUUUUCGCGUUACGUUAUUUGUGAACAGUCCGUAGUGAGGUAUGGU
Molecule: long non-coding RNA, 1056 nt
Organism: Armigeres subalbatus
Lineage: Eukaryota; Metazoa; Arthropoda; Insecta; Diptera; Culicidae
Exons: 4
Source: RefSeq, a predicted model, not a curated record